GGUGGUCCGCAUGACUGGCGACAUGAGGUGGGUUGACCACCGGGAAGUGUGGAUAUGGUUCCGCGCCGCUCGCCUGGGCAUUCUCC
RNAcentral lists this non-coding RNA (86 nucleotides) under Novacetimonas hansenii. Its description in RNAcentral is "Gluconacetobacter hansenii ZTP sequence". It matches the Rfam family "ZMP/ZTP riboswitch aptamer (pfl RNA motif)". Rfam says of the family: Previously known as pfl RNA. ZMP is also known as AICAR. Lineage: Bacteria; Pseudomonadati; Pseudomonadota; Alphaproteobacteria; Acetobacterales; Acetobacteraceae. The record is from RNAcentral.